GUGUAGCUUAGUUGUAGAGAAUCUGCUUUACAUGGAGAAGGUCCCUGGUUUAAUCCUUGGCAUCUCCA
Molecule: transfer RNA, 68 nt
Filed under: Sphaerodactylus townsendi
Lineage: Eukaryota; Metazoa; Chordata; Lepidosauria; Squamata; Sphaerodactylidae
Description: tRNA-Val
Source: RNAcentral